UGGGGAAUUUUGGACAAUGGGCGCAAGCCUGAUCCAGCAAUGCCGCGUGCAGGAUGAAGGCCUUCGGGUUGUAAACUGCUUUUGUACGGAACGAAAAGGCUCUGGUUAAUACCUGGGGCUCAUGACGGUACCGUAAGAAUAAGCGCCGGCUAACUACGUGCCAGCAGCCGCGGUAAUACGUAGGGUGCAAGCGUUAAUCGGAAUUACUGGGCGUAAAGCGUGCGCAGGCGGUCUUGUAAGACAGUCGUGAAAGCCCCGGGCUUAACCUGGGAACUGCCUUUGUGACUGCAAGGCUGGAGUGCGGCAGAGGGGGAUGGAAUUCCGCGUGUAGCAGUGAAAUGCGUAGAUAUGCGGAGGAACACCGAUGGCGAAGGCAAUCCCCUGGGCCUGCACUGACGCUCAUGCACGAAAGCGUGGGGAGCAAACA
RNAcentral lists this ribosomal RNA (427 nucleotides) under uncultured bacterium. RNAcentral's name for it is "bacterial SSU rRNA". It matches the Rfam family "Bacterial small subunit ribosomal RNA", at positions 355 to 774 of the family's 1533-position model. The record is from RNAcentral.